CUUUCCAUGAAAACAAUAGCCUGUGGUGAAACAGCUUGUCAUGGAUACUAAUGAAAAAUUGCCUGAGACAUCCUGAUGGGAUUCCUCCUGCAUUCAUUCUGCCCUUAAGGUCUGGGAAUUCAGUGAACACAAAAAGAUUUCAUUAUUGCUUCCCUGAUGUAACCAGGAGGAUUUAAAUAACCAAUGGGGGUGGAUACUCCUUUCUUUCUGACCUGAACCUUAUUGCAAAACACCAAGCGGAUAAAUGUAAAUUCUGAAGUUCCCUGGUUUUCUCCAGGACACACCCAGAAAGAUUCAUCACUCUGACAAAAGUUUAAAUGCUUAUAAUCCAUUUGUAAUGGAGCAUUUGGGAUGGAAUUAAUAUGGAGAACUACCCAUUUUGAGGGAAGACUUAUGGAAAAAUUAUCAGUUCAAUAUGGUAAGUCCAGGGAAAAAGAAAGGAAUGAAUUGGACUCAGCAUCCUGGUGUCAUUUGUUUCCAGUGUUCACUGAGCAUCAUUUUGCUACCUCUGAUCCACUCUACAUCAUAAGAGGUGAUCUUACCCCUUUGUCUCAUGGAUUUUUUUCCAUUGCAAAAAAAAGGCAUACAAGAGCUAAAUUUGGGCUCUUUUCCUCUGCUAUGAAUCUAAAAACAUUGUUCUUUUGAUAUAUAAUGUAGGUCUGUUACCAUGUCUAUUAAUUUAAUGUGAUAGAAGCAAAAGAAAAGGACCAGAAAGCUCUAAUUUCUGGCUUAAUAUUUGUAUUUAAGUACUCAAGGAUUAAAGUGAUA
Panthera uncia (snow leopard) is the source of this 768-nucleotide long non-coding RNA. RefSeq lists it as uncharacterized. The transcript has 3 exons. Lineage: Eukaryota; Metazoa; Chordata; Mammalia; Carnivora; Felidae. The record is from RefSeq and is a predicted model, not a curated record.